GACGAACGCUGGCGGCGUGCUUAAUACAUGCAAGUCAACUGAACUUAAGGUAGCAAUAUUUUAAGGGAGGUGGCGCACGGGUGAGUAACACGUAGGUAAUCUGCCUUUAGGUCUGACAUAAUUCCGCGAAAAGCGGGACUAAUAUCAGAUGAUGCAGCGGCUCGAACAUCGAGACAGUUGUUAAAACCUUCGGGGCCGUAAAGAUGAAGCCUGCGUCUGAUUAGGUAGUUGGCGGAGU
RNAcentral lists this ribosomal RNA (238 nucleotides) under uncultured bacterium. Its description in RNAcentral is "partial 16S ribosomal RNA". It matches the Rfam family "Bacterial small subunit ribosomal RNA", at positions 28 to 258 of the family's 1533-position model. The record is from RNAcentral.